This 253-nucleotide ribosomal RNA is filed under the name uncultured bacterium. RNAcentral describes it as "partial 16S ribosomal RNA". It matches the Rfam family "Bacterial small subunit ribosomal RNA", at positions 524 to 776 of the family's 1533-position model. The record is from RNAcentral.
UACGUAGGUGGCAAGCGUUAUCCGGAAUUAUUGGGCGUAAAGCGCGCGCAGGCGGUUUCUUAAGUCUGAUGUGAAAGCCCACGGCUCAACCGUGGAGGGUCAUUGGAAACUGGGGAACUUGAGUGCAGAAGAGAAAAGCGGAAUUCCACGUGUAGCGGUGAAAUGCGUAGAGAUGUGGAGGAACACCAGUGGCGAAGGCGGCUUUUUGGUCUGUAACUGACGCUGAGGCGCGAAAGCGUGGGGAGCAAUCAGG